GCCAGACUCCUACGGGCGGCAGCAGUGAGGCCUCUUGGUCAAUGGGGUCCGCCCUGAAGCCGCCCCGCCGCGUGGCGGCUGAAGGUUUUCGGAUUGUAAACUCCUUUUGUUAGAGCCGCUCAUAACGGUCUCUCCCGAAUAAGCACCGGCUAACUCCGUGCCCGCAGCCGCGGUCCUACGGAGGGUGCACGCGUUACUCGGCCUCACUGGGCGUAAAGAGCGCGGAGGCGGGAUAGCAAGGCAGAUGUGAAAGCCUAUGGCUGAACCAGAGAACGGCAUGGGAAACGGUGAGGCUAGAGGAGGGGAGAGGUAGGGGGAAUUCUUGGGGGAGGGGUAAAAGCCGGAGAGAUCAAGAGGAAGACUCAUUGCGAAGGCGACCUGCGAGAACAUAACUGACGCGGAUGCGCGAAAGCGGGGGGAGCAAACAGGAGGAGAGACCCGGGUA
Molecule: ribosomal RNA, 445 nt
Filed under: uncultured bacterium
Lineage: Bacteria
Description: bacterial SSU rRNA
Rfam family: Bacterial small subunit ribosomal RNA
Source: RNAcentral